Molecule: ribosomal RNA, 336 nt
Filed under: uncultured bacterium
Lineage: Bacteria
Description: bacterial SSU rRNA
Rfam family: Archaeal small subunit ribosomal RNA
Source: RNAcentral
UUCGUAGCUGGUUUGUUAAGUCUCUGGGGAAAUCUUCCGGCUUAACCGGAAGGCAUCUCAGGGAUACUGGCAGACUAGGGACCGGGAGAGGUGAGAGGUACUCCAGGGGUAGGAGUGAAAUCCUGUAAUCCUUGGGGGACCACCUGUGGCGAAGGCGUCUCACCAGAACGGCUCCGACAGUGAGGGACGAAAGCUGGGGGAGCAAACCGGAUUAGAUACCCGGGUAGUCCCAGCUGUAAACGAUGCGCGUUAGGUGUAUCGGUGACCACGAGUCACCGAGGUGCCGAAGAGAAAUCGUGAAACGUGCCGCCUGGGAAGUACGGUCGCAAGGCUGAA